RNAcentral lists this ribosomal RNA (269 nucleotides) under uncultured bacterium. RNAcentral's name for it is "partial 16S ribosomal RNA". It matches the Rfam family "Bacterial small subunit ribosomal RNA", at positions 28 to 297 of the family's 1533-position model. The record is from RNAcentral.
GACGAACGCUGGCGGCGUGCUUAACACAUGCAAGUCGAGCGGUAAGGCCCUUUCGGGGGUACACGAGCGGCGAACGGGUGAGUAACACGUGGGUGACCUGCCCUCAGCUCUGGGAUAAGCCUGGGAAACCGGGUCUAAUACUGGAUAUGACUCCAUGACGCAUGUUGUGGGGUGGAAAGCCUUGUGCGGCUGAGGGAUGGGCCCGCGGCCUAUCAGCUUGGUUGGUGGGGGAUGGCCUACCAAGGCGACGACGGGUAGCCGGCCUGAGA